UACGGAGGGGGCGAGCGUUAUUCGGAAUUAUUGGGCGUAAAGGGCGCGUAGGCGGCGCGAUAAGUCAAAGGUGAAAUCCCUCGGCUCAACUGAGGAACUGCCUUUGAGACUGUCGUGCUCGAGGCCGGGAGGGGGUAGCGGAAUUCCCAGUGUAGCGGUGAAAUGCGUAGAUAUCUGGAGGAACACCGGUGGCGAAGGCGGCAUCCUGGACCAAUAUUGACGCUGAGGAGCGAAAGCCAGGGGAGCAAACGGG
Molecule: ribosomal RNA, 253 nt
Filed under: uncultured bacterium
Lineage: Bacteria
Description: partial 16S ribosomal RNA
Rfam family: Bacterial small subunit ribosomal RNA
Source: RNAcentral